UAGCUCAGUGGUAGAGCGCCUGCCUAGCAUGUGUGAGGUCCUGGGUUCAAUCCCCAG
RNAcentral lists this transfer RNA (57 nucleotides) under Camelus bactrianus (Bactrian camel). It matches the Rfam family "tRNA", at positions 8 to 63 of the family's 71-position model. Rfam says of the family: Transfer RNA (tRNA) molecules are approximately 80 nucleotides in length. Their secondary structure includes four short double-helical elements and three loops (D, anti-codon, and T loops). Further hydrogen bonds mediate the characteristic L-shaped molecular structure. tRNAs have two regions of fundamental functional importance: the anti-codon, which is responsible for specific mRNA codon recognition, and the 3' end, to which the tRNAs corresponding amino acid is attached (by aminoacyl-tRNA synthetases). tRNAs cope with the degeneracy of the genetic code in two manners: having more than one tRNA (with a specific anti-codon) for a particular amino acid; and 'wobble' base-pairing, i.e. permitting non-standard base-pairing at the 3rd anti-codon position. RNAcentral also lists the same sequence under 2 other names. Lineage: Eukaryota; Metazoa; Chordata; Mammalia; Artiodactyla; Camelidae. The record is from Rfam by way of RNAcentral.